RNAcentral lists this ribosomal RNA (612 nucleotides) under uncultured Nitrososphaerota archaeon. Its description in RNAcentral is "bacterial SSU rRNA". It matches the Rfam family "Archaeal small subunit ribosomal RNA", at positions 79 to 694 of the family's 1478-position model. The record is from RNAcentral. Lineage: Archaea; Thermoproteati; Nitrososphaerota.
UGGCAUACGGCUCAGUAACACGUAGUCAACAUGCCCAGGGGACGUGGAUAACCUCGGGAAACUGAGGAUAAACCGCGAUAGGCCAUGAUUUCUGGAAUGGUUUAUGGCCGAAAUCUAUAUGGCCCCUGGAUUGGACUGCGGCCGAUCAGGCUGUUGGUGAGGUAAUGGCCCACCAAACCUGUAACCGGUACGGGCUCUGAGAGGAGGAGCCCGGAGAUGGGCACUGAGACAAGGGCCCAGGCCCUAUGGGGCGCAGCAGGCGCGAAAUCUCUGCAAUAGGCGAAAGCUUGACAGGGUUACUCUGAGUGGUUCCCGUUAAGGGGAUCUUUUGGCACCUUUAAAAAUGGUGCAGAAUAAGGGGUGGGCAAGUCUGGUGUCAGCCGCCGCGGUAAUACCAGCACCCCGAGUGGUCGGGACGAUUAUUGGGCCUAAAGCAUCCGUAGCCGGUACUGCAAGUCUUCCGUUAAAUCCACCUGCUUAACAGUUGGGCUGCGGGGGAUACUACAGCGCUAGGAGGCGGGAGAGGCAAGCGGUACUCAAUGGGUAGGGGUAAAAUCCGCUGAUCCAUUGAAGACCACCAGUGGCGAAGGCGGCUUGCCAGAACGCGCUCGA